Molecule: long non-coding RNA, 279 nt
Organism: Triticum dicoccoides
Lineage: Eukaryota; Viridiplantae; Streptophyta; Magnoliopsida; Poales; Poaceae
Exons: 2
Source: RefSeq, a predicted model, not a curated record
CUGACUCCUCCACCUCCCCUCGCCGCGCCGCCACUUCUCCGCCAUAGCCUCCACCAUGGAGGCUCCACGACGAGCUCGAUGAACUGCGGCGCAUUGCAUGAAGACUGCAUGGCUGGUUAUUUGGCCCUCUGAGGGGUGUAGGUGUAGUUUUUUUUGUUAUGUCUGAGGUCCUUUGUAGUUUUGGUGAACAAAAGAAAAAUGUGUGUAUGUUCUAUUCCAAUACUAGAAGAAAAUAAAAGCUCUGUUUGAUGCUUGCUCGGGUAAAACCUGUUUAACCAA